Molecule: ribosomal RNA, 492 nt
Filed under: uncultured bacterium
Lineage: Bacteria
Description: partial 16S ribosomal RNA
Rfam family: Bacterial small subunit ribosomal RNA
Source: RNAcentral
AGUGAACGCUGGCGGUAGGCCUAACACAUGCAAGUCGAACGGCAGCACAGUAAGAGCUUGCUCUUACGGGUGGCGAGUGGAGGACGGGUGAGGAAUACAUCGGAAUCUACUUUUUCGUGGGGGAUAACGUAGGGAAACUUACGCUAAUACCGCAUACGACCUACGGGUGAAAGCAGGGGAUCUUCGGACCUUGCGCGAUUGAAUGAGCCGAUGUCGGAUUAGCUAGUUGGCGGGGUCAAGGCCCACCAAGGCGACGAUCCGUAGCUGGUCUGAGAGGAUGAUCAGCCCCACUGGGACAGGGACACGGUCCAGACUCCUACGGGGAGCAGCAGUGGGGAAUAUUGGACAGUGGGAGCAAGCCUGAUCCAGCCAUACCGCGUGGGUGAAGAAGGCCUUCGGGUUGUAAAGCCCUUUUGUUGGGAAAGAAAAGCAGCAGGUUAAUACCCCGCUGUUCUGACGGUACCCAAAGAAUAAGCACCGGCUAACUUCGUG